UUCCGGUUGAUCCUGCCGGAGGUCAUUGCUAUUGGGGUCCGAUUUAGCCAUGCUAGUUGCGCGAUUUAGAUCGCAGCGGAAAGCUCAGUAACACGUGGCCAAACUACCCUGCAGAGGAGCAUAAUCUCGGGAAACUGAGGCUAAUACUCCAUACGGCUCUCUCGCUGGAGUGCAGAGAGCCCGAAACGCUUCGGCGCUGCAGGAUGUGGCUGCGGCCGAUUAGGUAGACGGUGGGGUAACGGCCCACCGUGCCGAUAAUCGGUACGGGUUGUGAGAGCAAGAGCCCGGAGACGGAAUCUGAGACAAGAUUCCGGGCCCUACGGGGCGCAGCAGGCGCGAAACCUUUACACUGCACGACAGUGCGAUAAGGGGACCCCAAGUGCGAGGGCAUAUAGUCCUCGCUUUUGUGUACCGUAAGGUGGUACACGAAUAAGAGCUGGGCAAGACCGGUGCCAGCCGCCGCGGUAAUACCGGCAGCUCAAGUGAUGACCGAUAUUAUUGGGCCUAAAGCGUCCGUAGCUGGCCGCGUAGGUUCGUCGGGAAAUCCAUCCGCUCAACGGAUGGGCGUCCGGCGAAAACCACGUGGCUUGGGACCGGAAGGCUCGAGGGGUACGUCCGGGGUAGGAGUGAAAUCCCGUAAUCCUGGACGGACCGCCGAUGGCGAAAGCACCUCGAGAAGACGGAUCCGACAGUGAGGGACGAAAGCUGGGGUCUCGGACCGGAUUAGAUACCCGGGUAGUCCCAGCCGUAAACGAUGUUCGCUAGGUGUGUCACUCACUACGAGUGAGUGAUGUGCCGUAGGGAAGCCGCUAAGCGAACCGCCUGGGAAGUACGUCCGCAAGGAUGAAACUUAAAGGAAUUGGCGGGGGAGCACUACAACCGGAGGAGCCUGCGGUUUAAUUGGACUCAACGCCGGU
RNAcentral lists this ribosomal RNA (917 nucleotides) under uncultured archaeon. Its description in RNAcentral is "bacterial SSU rRNA". It matches the Rfam family "Archaeal small subunit ribosomal RNA", at positions 1 to 922 of the family's 1478-position model. The record is from RNAcentral.